Molecule: long non-coding RNA, 1119 nt
Organism: Leopardus geoffroyi (Geoffroy's cat)
Lineage: Eukaryota; Metazoa; Chordata; Mammalia; Carnivora; Felidae
Exons: 5
Source: RefSeq, a predicted model, not a curated record
UCUUUUUUAAUCACUGAAUAAUAUUCCAUGGUAUGGGCUUGCUGUCGUUUCUAUUUAGACUUGGUGUUGGCAUUCCCAAUAACUGCAUCUUCCAGCAAGAAGAGGAGAGAGAAAUUAAGAGUACACAUACCUUGAUGAGCACCAAGUAUUGUAUAGAAUUGUUGAAUCACUACACAGGACACCCGAAACUAACAUGACACUGUAUGUUAACUACACUAGAAUUAAAAAAAAAAGGGGGGGGGAAGAGAGGAGCAGCAGGUCAGGCCUUUGCUAGAAAGCUUCCCCCAGUCUCUGGUAGCACUACACAAUUUUCUCCAUUCCUCAUCCUGCCAUUGAUUCAGUCUCACUGAUGAUACUUGUGGUAUGUAUUUGUAACUAUCUUACACCCUCACCGUUUGAAAUUCCUUUCCAUUUGGGGGGGAUCCAGAGCUGUGCAUGGCUGGUGGAAACCAGGAUGUAACUACACUACAAAAGGCAAAAGUACCAGACUUUGCCCUCCCACAAACCCCAGCAGGGCUUAGCCGAUCCCAUGCACGUGAUGGAAACUUGGAACAUGGAAUGAGGUACACACAAGCAGGAAGAGUCUGGAAUUUACUCCAGGGGGGCCACUGCUCUGGCAUUGGCAGUGGGGCUGAUGGCUGCAGCUGGUGCACAGUGGGGGCAUUAUCAGCCCCCUAACCAGGAUGCUGUUUGGAGCAAUUGGAAUGCACCAUGAUGACAUCCUUGGACUGACCCAGUGGAUGAGGAACAGAAGCUUUGUAAGAAAAAUCCAUCUGGGUGUGCAGCAAUGCAAAAACUCUUCCAAAAAAUAAGACCAACGGAGCCACCAAAAUGAGCUAGUUCUGUAUCCCGCUCUUGCGGAUGAGUCUGAAGAAUGUUCCAGCUGCAAACCUCAAUGUGGUCAAUGCCAGUGCCUACAGCCAGGGGCUGAGGGAAGGAGGAGGUUGUAAGUGGAGCUGUUGUGUCCCCCACUUGGAAACCCCUCUGAGGAGGGAAAAGACGGAUCCCGACCCUUCGGUUUCACCUCCUGUGUUUCUCCAACACUCAAGUGGGCUCCACCACCCAAGCCUCUCUGGUGGCUUCAGGCACUUAUGUUGUGUGCUGAUAACGGAAGACAAA